Molecule: ribosomal RNA, 497 nt
Filed under: uncultured bacterium
Lineage: Bacteria
Description: partial 16S ribosomal RNA
Rfam family: Bacterial small subunit ribosomal RNA
Source: RNAcentral
GAUGAACGCUGGCGGCGUGCCUAAUACAUGCAAGUCGAGCGAACAGACGAGGAGCUUGCUCCUCUGACGUUAGCGGCGGACGGGUGAGUAACACGUGGAUAACCUACCUAUAAGACUGGGAUAACUUCGGGAAACCGGAGCUAAUACCGGAUAAUAUAUUGAACCGCAUGGUUCAAUAGUGAAAGACGGUUUUGCUGGCACUUAUAGAUGGAUCCGCGCCGCAUUAGCUAGUUGGUAAGGUAACGGCUUACCAAGGGAACGAUGCGUAGCCGACCUGAGAGGGUGAUCGGCCACCCUGGAACUGGGCCACGGUCCAGACUCCUACGGGAGGCCGCAGUAGGCAAUCUUCCGCAAUGGGCGAAAGCCUGACGGAGCAAGGCCGCGUGAGUGAUGACGGUCUUCGGAUCGUAAAACUCUGUUAUUAGGGAAGAACAAAUGUGUAAGUAACUAUGCACGUCUUGACGGUACCUAAUAAGAAAGCCCCGGCUAACUACGUG